RNAcentral lists this transfer-messenger RNA (386 nucleotides) under marine eukaryotic metagenome. Its description in RNAcentral is "Alphaproteobacteria transfer-messenger RNA". It matches the Rfam family "Alphaproteobacteria transfer-messenger RNA". From Rfam's summary of the family: Bacterial tmRNA, also known as 10Sa RNA or SsrA, is named for its dual tRNA and mRNA-like properties. The record is from RNAcentral.
UUUGCCUAUAUACUAUAACUGUUACUUUCGGGUAACUAUGAUACAAAACGUUGUUACGGAAUAAACGUUUAUGGACCCGGGGGCAGUGCCCGGCGGCUCCACCACAAAAGCAUUGAAAUCAUUGGUGUUUUUCUGUGGGGCCGAAACAGGAUCGACAUGCGUCAUAAAGGUAAUAAGCGGUAUCCGGGAUGGCACCUACGUAUUGGGCCAACGCAUUAUAAAUGCAAACGAUAACUUUGUCGUAGCAAAUGAUAACAACCUAGCGGUUGCCAUCGCUGCCUAAUUGGAUUUAUUCCAUUUAGCGUAGUUAGUAGCUACACACUGAAUUCCUUUGACCUUGACAGUCUUAGGUGGGGUAUGGGCCGACCUCGCAACAGAACAGGCCC